GCGAGCCCACCUCCCACCCGUGUUUACUGUACCUUAGUUGCUUCGGCGGGCCCGCCAUUCAUGGCCGCCGGGGGCUCUCAGCCCCGGGCCCGCGCCCGCCGGAGACACCACGAACUCUGUCUGAUCUAGUGAAGUCUGAGUUGAUUGUAUCGCAAUCAGUUAAAACUUUCAACAAUGGAUCUCUUGGUUCCGGCAUCGAUGAAGAACGCAGCGAAAUGCGAUAACUAGUGUGAAUUGCAGAAUUCCGUGAAUCAUCGAGUCUUUGAACGCACAUUGCGCCCCCUGGUAUUCCGGGGGGCAUGCCUGUCCGAGCGUCAUUGCUGCCCAUCAAGCACGGCUUGUGUGUUGGGUCGUCGUCCCCUCUCCGGGGGGGACGGGCCCCAAAGGCAGCGGCGGCACCGCGUCCGAUCCUCGAGCGUAUGGGGCUUUGUCACCCGCUCUGUAGGCCCGGCCGGCGCUUGCCGAACGCAAAUCAAUCUUUUCCAGGUUGACCUCGGAUCAGGUAGGGAUACCCGCUGAACUUAAGCAUAUCAAUA
Molecule: ribosomal RNA, 536 nt
Filed under: Aspergillus flavus
Lineage: Eukaryota; Fungi; Ascomycota; Eurotiomycetes; Eurotiales; Aspergillaceae
Description: eukaryotic LSU rRNA
Rfam family: 5.8S ribosomal RNA (bases 164-317)
Source: RNAcentral